UCCGUCAACCUAACACUAGCUCGACAUGUUGGGCAUGUAUCAGCUCUGAGGAACCAAGUGUCCACACACUUCCUAUGGAACACGUGUCCGCAACCGGGAAGUCUCCGACACCAUCGUCCCUUUCUGAAUCCAUCAAGGCAAACAACGCAUUCGCUUCCGUCUGGUCUGGCUGGUUUGGAAGUUUUGAAUUGGGGAAGCUUCUGCACGAGUGUGGAAGAUAAUCCACCAGAGGGUUCAUCUUGGGGAUCAUCUGGGGGAUCAUCUUGGGGAUCAAGGAAACUAACGUUGGAAAUUGAUCUUAUAAUGCUUAAUACUGAGAAAGAAAGAGACAAAUAUGGUGAAGAGAAGAUGAUGAGAGCAUGCAUCAAAAAUACACAAGAAUUACAUGAACAAGAAAAAAAAUACACAGGAAUUACAUGAACAAGAAAGAAAAAAAGGAGAAGGAAAUUCAAAGGUUUGUGUGUAAGACAACAAGUCACUGGGUCAGAAAUUAUUAACCUCAGAUCAUAUGGGUUGUGUGAUAUGUAAUAGUAGAUUAGGGUUGGUAGUAUAAAUAUGUAAGCAUAUCGUAAGGAAAAGGAUAAUAGAGUGAAAAUUAAUCAGAAAGUGUAUGAGGAAGAUAAUCCACCUGAGGGUUCAUCUUGGGGAUUUGGUAGACUACUGUUGAAUAUUGAUCCUAUGCUUAAUCCUGAGAAAAUAAAGAAACAAAUAUGGUGAAGAGAAGAAGAUGAGCCUAUGAAAAAUACAUAGGAAAACAUGAAGAAGAAGAAGGUCACGUGCAAGGUCAGAAAUGACUAAACCCAAAGCAUAUAUAUGGGACGUAUGUGGUAUCAGUAUGUAAUUAGUAGAUUACGGUUGAUUGUAUGGAAUAAGGAUUAAUAAAAAAGUGUAGGAGGAAGAUAAUCCACCUGGGGGUUCAUCUUGGGGAUUAGGGAGACUACUGUCGAAUAUUGCUCCUAUGCUUAAUCCUGGGAAAAGAAAGAGACAAAUAUGGUGAAGAGAUGAAGAUGAGCCCAUGACAAAUACGUAGGAAACAUGAAUAAGAAGAAGGUCACGUGCAAGGUCAGAAAUGAUUAAACCCAGAGCAUGUAUAUGGGACUUUAUGUAAUAAGUAGAUUAGGGUUGAUUGUAUGGAAUAAGGAUUAAUCAGAAAAUUUAGAAGGAAGAUAAUCCACCUGAGGGUUCGUAUAGGGGCCUGGGGAGAUUACGUCGGUGAAGGAAGAGGAAAAGGAGGAGGCUAAGGGGAAGAAGAAGACCGGCAGUGACGAUUACGAUAAGUGUCAUUGUAAACCAUUUACGAAUAGAAGGGCAGACUUUUCAUUAGAUACAAGAGAUAAUAUAUACGCACAUAAGGCGUGAGAAAACCCUAAGGUGACCAAAACAACUGUAGCAACAAUUAACAAAUAAGAAAACAUACAAUACAUAUAUUGUAAAAAAAAUAUUUUGGACUGCUUCCAGAAUAUAUAAACAAAAAAAUAAAAUAAAUAACAUUUAUCCUUUGUUGUAAAAUAAAAAAUAAAAACCCUAAUAACUACUUAUUUGACCUAAGUCUCGUGGGUUAGAAGUUACAGUUGGAGAUAAUCUGGACUGGCUGUGGAUGAUACAUGGCCGCAACUCCGGCGUCAUUGCUCCCAGAAGCUUUCACAAUGAAACCCAUUGUUCAAGCGCCAUGGUGAGUUUUUUUAAAUCGAACUUCCAGGGCAUGAUCUCUGUAUUAGGGUUUAGCUUUUGUGUUAUGUUCUAUAACCGCUUUCACUAUAUAUAUCCAAUAUUCGAACCUACGUCUUCCCAUCGUUGUAAUAUCUCUUGAUGAUUCACCGUGCAUGUGCUUCUUCUUCUACUAGUUGUCGAUGCAGUGUUAAGGCUAGAGAAAAUCAUGGAUCAAAGAACAAGUGCACUAAAGGAUUGUGGGAUCUAAAUAUUCCCUCAGAGCUCUUGGAGGAGAUACUAUCCCGCCUCGGAGUAAAAGACAACAUAAAAGCUUCCGCUGUCUGCAAGGCAUGGUGUGAAGCAGCUGCUUAUGUCAGAAAGUUCAACCCGCUUUUCUAUGGAUCAAAAGAGGGAGACUAUGGUGAUUGGUUUUUGUUUUAGUUUUUGGUUUUUAUUUUUUUCAAAAUCACUUUUUUAAAUUAAGUUUUAGUUUUUAGUUUUUAGUUUUUAUUUUUGUAAAAAUUAUUUAAUUUGCCAAUCACGAUUUAUAACAAAUAACUUCCCUAAACUUAGAAUAACUAGUUUUUCAAAAUUUUAACUAAUUUAUGAACUUACCCAAUAAGUGGCGCUUUUUACCCAGCCAAAUGCGUAGCUUUCUCAGCCGCUCCUACAUCAACUAGUUGCUUGGUGGUCUCCUUCAGCCAAUUAGGUUACAAAGAUUCUUUGUGAUCGCUACUUGGUGACCUGGUGAGACCGUAUGGACCAUCUAUAAACAAAAAUACACAGAGAAGAGAAUCUAUCAUUUCGUAAUAAUACUAGAAAUGAUAAAAAUAAAUUAAAUAUAAAUUAAACUUAACUUCGCCAGUGUGAACACGUUUAUACUAAUCACUAAGACCAUCUUUAACCCUAUAACCCCAUAUGGAUUUCUUAAUAAUUUUUAAUUAAUUAAAUAUACUUUAAUUGUACUUAAAAACUCUAGUUAAGAAACCUUUAAAAUGUGUGCUCCAGUGGUAGUUUCUUAAUUAGGAUUCUUAAAAAAAUUUAAGUUGUGUUGUUAAGCUUGUGUUGCAAGCAAUUGGAGUUUAUGAUGCCUCCAAGUAAUAUAUAUAUAUAUAUAUAUAUAUAUAUAUAUAUAAUAUAUAUAUAUAUAUAUAUAUAUAUAAAUACAGGAGAGGUGGAAGCUGAGGCUGAAAACAAUAGAAGAUGGCUUGAAGGGUACAAACACGUUUUCUAUCUGGCAAACGACUACAAAGACUGAAAAAACUGGCAAGAUUUUAGGAUUCUUGACGAGUGGCGGUGGAGGAUCAAAGAAAAGGUCUAGUUCUCAGCCACGAGGCUCAGUUACAGGAAGAAUCCAUGCUAUGAAUCAGCCGAGCAACAGAGCUGCAGAGACUGAUGGAAAAGAGAACUCAAAGAUUUCAGCAAACGGUUUCAGGGUUUUUGUAUGACAGGCUUCAGAAGGAACCAUAUAGAAGAAAAAAAUGAAAGGCAUGUCUUUUUACAUGGUACUCAGUGUAAGGUGAUGUUGCCUGCUGUGUAGAAGCGCAAGCCGUUUGAGGAUGAAACGAGUUUGAUACCUUUGUAAAUCUUGUGAGAGCAUCGGCACGGUUUAGGAACAGAGAGGGGUUUGAUGGAACAAGCCUUCUCUAGGUCAGGAAUUGCGUGUAGGUGAGAAGGAAGAUCGAUGUUGAACUGUGACAGCUUUGAUCACUUUGGAUCUACUCCUAUGUCCAGUAUGGCACAUGAUACCAACGGUAGCACCUGCAUGACAGAUGAUGAUGUGUUAAAGACCUGUAUAAGGGAUAUGAACUAGUUUUCCAGUACGUACCAGAGAUACGGUCGGCUGAGGAAGAGAGAAGAGAGGCGGUGAGGAUGACGGAGGAGAGUUUGAUGUCUUAGCCUGUGCCACAGCACCCUCAAGCACGAAGAUGCAGAUCUACUUGCUUCAACAGCUCUUCUUGCGUCCGUUUCUUCCUCAAAGCCGAGAAAGCCUUCUCCUUUCCAUGUUCCCGGAUUAAUUCUCUUGCUCCUUCCUUCUCAGCUUCAAUUACUUUCUCAACCUAAUUUACAAAAAGUUAUGAAGGUGGGUUAAAAUGGAAUAAGCCAAGAACUCAAAAGCUUGAGCCUUUUGUUGUCAUCAGUACUAAAUAACAAUCAAAACCAUUUAUAACAACAUAGGCUUAUUCUAUCGAAUGAAACAAAACUUCAAAUGGUUAAACCUAUAUGAUCACAGUUCAUAUAGAAAGGAGAUAAGAUUGGAUCAAACAAUACCUUUGUUUCAACCUUGGAGGUGCGAAGGAGAGCUUGGAGGUGCAAAGGAAAGCCAAUUGAACAAACAAUACGUUUGUUUCAACCUUGGAGGUGCGUAGGAGAGAACGACAGCCAUCGUCGUCUUGCGGAGACAACGGGGGAAGCGGCGGAGAAGCCGAGUGAAACCAAAGAAAAGAAAAAGAGAAAAGAAUAAUAGAAAAAUAUAUGCUUUGUCUUUCGUUAGCUGACACGUGGAGGAAAAACCUCUUUAGUUAUCGAUCACAAAAAUCCUUUCUUAAGGAUCGAUAACUCCCCUUUUAUUUAGUUUUCAUUUAAUUAAAUACCCAAUUAACUUUAAAACCCCAUUUAAAAUCCCCCGUUAAAGAUGCUCUAAGAGCAUCCGCAAUAGGAAUCCUUAAGAAGGAGUCCUUAGAAAAAAAAAAAUUAAAUAAUCGAUGGACUCCACUAAAAGUUAAGGAUUCAUUCCUUAAAAUUCUUAGAUAAUGACUCUUUCUUAGUGAAUCCUUGCACUAUUUGCGGAUCCCGACAACAUGUGGUGACCCGCGAUUAGUUGAUAUUUAUUUAUUUUUUAUCUAAUAAAGAAAAAAAAAUAAUACUAAAAAAAUCAAAAUACACUUUUUCUAAGGACUCCCUUUGAGUAACACUAUUGCGGGUGCUCUAAUAAGACUAUCUCCAACAAGACAUCAAAUUUGGUGUGAUUUUAUCUCCAACAAAACAUCAAAUUUAACACUAUCCCACCAAAUUUGGUGUAAUGUAAAUAGUGUUAUACCAAUCAUCACACUAAAUCCUUAAAAUACAUAUUUUAAUAUGUUUCAUUUAAAAAUAUAGUUUAAUUACUAUCAAAGUUGUAGUUAAACAUAAAUAUAUUGUAUUGUUUUUAUUUUAAAUUUAUUUUUCACAUUUGAUGUAAUAAUAUUCAUUACACAAAAUUUCUAAAAUAUAUUUUAGUAUGUUUCAUAUAAUAAUAUAGAUCAAAUACUAUCAAAUUUGUAAUUAAACAUAAAUAAUAUUAUAUUAUUUGUAUUUUUAAUUUAUUUUCAUAUAAUUAAAAAUUUAAUUUUUAUUAUUUUAUUCAAAAUAAAUUAGUAAAUAACUAUUAUUAUUUAUCACUUACAAAUAAUAAAAAUAUAAAAUUUUUAAAACUGAAAACAUCAAAUAAUAUAUAAUAUUACUUUUGGUGUAAGAUUUGGUGUUAUUGUUAGAGAUGACAAAACAAAAAUUGACACCAAAACACUAAAUUUGGUGUAAAUUCAACACUAAAUUUUGUGUCAUUGUUGGAAAUGUCCUAAGUGUUGGGUUAUAACAUGUUGUGUUAUUAUAGAUGAAAAAUAUAUAAUAUACUUGUGUUUUAUAUUAUUAAGGUAAAUCAUUUCGUAACAAUAAUACUAUUAAAAACAAUUAAAAUAAAUUAAAUAUAAAUUAAACUUCACUUAACUUCGCUGAUGUGAACACGUUUAUACUAAUAACAUGUUGUGUUAUUAACUUAUUAUAGGUGAAAAAUAUAUAAUUGUGUUUAUAUUUAAGGUAAAUCUUAUCGAAAACCCUGAAGAAAUUUUUUGACCAAAAUAGUCCAUAAAUAAAAAGAUACCAAAAUAAGUUUAUUAAAGAACAAAAAAAAUUAAAGUACCAUUUAAUGAUAUACGUCUAAUAUAAAUAAGUAUUUUUAUUUUUAUUUUUAAUAUUGUCCAAAAGACAGUCGUAUAUAUAUUACUCACCGGUAGAUUCGAUGGUUGGAUCUACGGAGUUGAUAGGAAGCGGUGGUGACGCAUUGGCCUCGUGACACGUGUACCUUCGACGGUGAGGAUGGCAACACGUGUCCAAGCAUCAAAAAUGGGAUCUGCGAGGCGGCCGAAUCUACCUUCUUUAGGUUUUUAGGGUUUCUCAAGUUGGGCCGUAGGUCUAGUCUCAAUUGAGGAUCGGGGUUGUCCGUUUGGUUUGUUGGGCUUUAGUGUGAGUUUUUGUACUGGGUUUGGCCCGUUUUAUUAAUCAAAAUCAUCCGGUUGGAAAAAAAAAAUAUUACUCACCUAAUAGUAACACAACAGUUGUUCAAAAACAAAAGUAAGUAACACAACAAUCCCGAAAUUAUUAUUAUUUAAUAAUAUCUGAAGGUUAAAAAUUAAGUUGUGUCCAUUGACACUGAAGACAUUGGGCCGAGAUUAGGUUAAGCCCGUGAGCCCAAAAGCUAAAAAAAGGGAAAAAACCGGUUCAAAUUGAAACCCUCGAUUUCGCUAAAGCUUUGUUCCAAUUUGUGAUUCGGUGGAGGAAGGAGGAGGACGAAAAGAGUGUUUUCCAGUCACUGCGAAAAUUCAUCAACCUUGUCGUCUCUCUCCCCCUAUCUACUUCUUCCCUUUCUUUCCGCGAGGUAUCUUCUCGAUUUCUUUUCCGAAUUCGCAAUUUUUUUAUAUAUCUGUAAUGAAUCCGAAAUUCGCGAAUAGAGGUUUUGUAAAAUCGUAUUCUUUUGUUAUAAAUCUGAAAUUGACUGCGUAAAUAGACAUUUUUUCAUUUCAAUUUCGUUGUUUGUUAUUAACCCCUCGUCGAAAUUUUGAGUCUUUAUUGGCAUAUGCUUACUACUGUUAAAAUGAAAUUUGAGCAUUGGUUUAUAAUGAAGUUUAGAGAUGUGAGAAGUCAAGAAGGCAAAGGUGCAACCUUUUUGCGUUUUCUUGAAAAUUGCUUUGUUAUGCCUUCACUUGUCUCUUUGCUUUUGAGUUUUCCUCUUUGUUGACACUUGAACUAUGCUAUAUUUCUUGUUUGUAUAAAACACUGAUACUGCUGAAACGCUUCUCCAUCUCUAUUUCAAUCUAGAUCAGUAAACCAAAAGCUAAGUUAGAACCAGACUUAUCUUGUAGAUUUGUUGAAUUUAUCUCCCCUACUAAGGCCAAUGAUCAAUAAACCCAUUUUAAGAUGUUCUCCUUAGCUCCAACUUGUUUGUACUUCUCUAGUGUGUACCAGAUUUACCUUUUCUGUUUUGGGGUGUCUCUAAAUUAUUAGCUUCAAGGCAACCUGUGUUCAUUUCUUUUGUUUCUAUGCAAUUCGUAUUUGAUAAAAUUAUUGUAUCCGUGAAUUGGUAUAGGUAUGCUGUUAUAAUGGAUUCGGCAUUGGAGAAUAUAACAGAAAUGGAGAAUGAGAGAGUUGAACAGGGCACAGACAAGGAAAUUGAGACUAAAGAGCAAACUCAGGAUAACGUUGUGGAAACCAAUAAGGAGACUGAGACUGACGAGCAAACUCAGGAUACUGUUAUGGAAACCAAUAACGGAAUGGAGACUGAAGAACAAAGUCAGGAUACUGUUAUGGAAACCGAGGAUAAGAAUCCAGGAGAGACAGUCGGAGAGGAAGAUCCAGUAAGCGAACUUAAGGAUCCUCCUUCUCCCAUGAUCACUGAAAAGGAGGCCGACGAUGAUGAUGAUGUACCAAAGAUUGAUGGUGAGAAGAAUACCCAAUUAGAGACUAGCCCGCAUCUAAGUCCUCCUUCAGUGGCUCUAGAUCCUGAAGAAGGGUUAAGCAAAGACAAUGUUGAACGGAACAUUGGGUCCAGCGAAGUAAGUUCGGGUGUCUUGAAAAAUGACACAGAUUCUGUCAUGGUUGACAAAUAUACUCCAGUAGUCCAUGACGAAACGGCUACAGUAACUUAUAGCAAACUCUCAGAGGAAAAAGGAUCGCCACAUCAUCAUGCUAAUACUGUGACGGAUCAGGACAAAGCUACAGAAGAGCAGGACAUGGCAUCCUCAGGAGAGUUGAACGUGAUUACAGUCACUCCUGAUACCAAACUCUUGGAGGACAAAGGAUCACCCCUUCAUCAUGCUGAUACUGUGAUGGAUCAUGACAAACCUGCAGAAGAGCAUGACAUGGCAUCCUCAGGAAACUUUAACGAGAUUACGGUCACUCCUGAUACCAAACUCUCGGAGGACAAUGGAUCACCCCUUCAUCAUGCUACUGUAAUGGAGCAGGACAAACCUGCGGUAGAAGUAGAACAUAACAUGGCAUACUCAGGAGACCAAAACGAGGUUACAGUCACUCCUGAUACCAAAAUCUCGGAGGGAAAAGAAUCUCCGCAUCGUCAUCCCAAUUCUGUGAUGGAGCAGGAUAAUCCUGCGGAAGAACAUAACAUGGCAUCCUCAGAAGACCAUAACGAGAUUACAGUCACUCCUGAUACCAAACUCUCGGAGGACAAAGGAUCACCGCUUCAUCAUGCUGAUACUGUAAUGGAGCAGGACAAACCUGCAGAAGAACAUAACAUGAUAUCCUCAGAAGAUCAUAACGAGUCUCCAGUAACUACUGACACCAAAGAUGUUGAGGAGAACAAUGAAAGGCUAGACAAGGGCGAGGCUAACAAUAUGAACUUGGCUGACCAUGUAAGUGAGCCAGUGGAUCAUGAUGAAGGAACCACAACGGAGAAUGAAAAAGAGCCAGAUGUGCCUGUUUCUGAGACCGAAUCAAAUCUGGAGAAUAAGCCAUCCGAGCCUCUCGUAGAAACCUCAGUGAACGUGGAAAAAGAGCCAGACAUGCCUGCCACUGAAAAUUUGACAGAAAAUGACCAAAACUCUGAUGUGUUGGCUGCUGUAGUUUCGGGAGACAGUGACAAAGGGUUAUCUCUCUUGCCCGCUACCCAGACUUCACCUAACCAUAACGAAGGAGUUGCUACACUUGAGGCUGAACGUAUGGAAGACAUGGAAGUCGACGUCCCUGAUUCUAUUUUGGUUACUGAUGCUAGUAUUGACCCUCCAAAUAACAACGAUGUCAAUGCCAAGGCUCCUACUAAUGCUGAAAAUAAAGAUUCUUCUAUAGUAUUAGUACCUGAGGGAAAUGAUGCUGAUAAUGAGAGUGCGUCAGUGAGACGUGAACCUGGUCCUCCAUGUGUUGCAUCUUCUGAUACGAAGUCUGAAGUGGGGGCAAGUGGUGGUUUGAAUAAUGGGGUCCAUCAGAUAGGUCAGCCAUCACCUGGUUUGGAUAGGCCCAUGAGCCCAAAACGCUCUUUCCUGUUGGAUGAUUCGUCGGAGGGCUAUGAAUCUGGAACGGAGGAGGAUCAAGCUGCUUUUAUGAAAGAACUGGGUCACUUCUUUAGAGAGAGAAACAUGGACUUCAAACCUCCAAAGUUUUAUGGAGAGGGACUAAACUGCCUUAAGUAAGCUUUCUCCCCCACCCAUCUUAUUGUGUUUUAACAAUUUCAGUUGAAGCUGAUGUUUUCAUUCAUUUUCUUUGGCGCAAGGUUGUGGAGAGCUGUAAUUAGAUUGGGGGGUUAUGACAAGGUACGCCCCCACUGUCAAUGCGCCUGAUGAACGAUAUAGCAUCUUUGUUGACGAGAAAAUUUGGCCUUUGCAUUUCGUUCAUGAUUAAAAUUAUACUUUAUUUUGAAUAGGUUACUGGAUGCAAACUAUGGCGGCAAGUAGGAGAGUCUUUCAGGCCCCCAAAGUAAGAAGAAUUUUGUCCUUUACCAUUGGCCUUGUUCUUUUCUUAUUAGUUGAUUUUAUCUGCAUAUUACCAAGAGUUUGUUCAAAUUAGUUGCUCCAUUUACUUGGCCAGGACAUGUACAACAGUGUCAUGGACUUUCCGAGGUUUCUACGAAAAGGUGAGAGAUUAUAUAUAUGUCCACCCUCUUUGUUGAUCUCCAUUCUCUGCUUUUUUCCCAAAUAACGUGGCUCUAUGCUUCAGCUCCCUCUUUGAGAUAAUUUAAAUGAUUGAACAAAGAGCAAGUGUGAAUCCUCUGGAGAUAUAUUUCCUUAAUAUCCAUUAACAUCUUGUAACCUUAUUUAUGUUAAUAUCGUUUCUUAUUUUAUUUUUUUCAGGCUCUUCUUGAAUAUGAGCGGCAUAAAGUCCACGUGGGUGAAGUACAGAUACCACUUGCUAUUGAACCAGAACCAAUGAAUAUUGAUAAUCAGGUAAGUUUCUUGAACAUUAUAUCAUGCGUCUGUAGUUUUCUGUUUGAUCUUUUUAUGCUUAUUUUUUUGUGUGUUUAUAACUUAACCUGCGGUCAUGUAGGCUUCUGGAUCUGGUAGAGCGAGGAGAGACGCAGCAGCACGUGCUAUGCAAGGUUGGAAUUCACAGCGUCUUAAUGGGAACGGUGAAGUUAAUGAUGACCCUGCAUUUAAGGUCCGACAGAAUCUUGUAUUCUUUCAACUCUACACCUUUGUUGUUGUCAUUAUCUUCUGAACCGCACGCUAUUUUGUAACUGUAGGAUAAGAAUUUAGUUCUUCAUCAAAAGCGCGAAAAACAGAUAGGAACAUCCCCUGGUAUGAGUUCUGUUCGAUGAAGAAGUUUUUGUAUAUCAUUUGUAUUAUUGAAGCUUUGACUCAGUUUAUUACUAACAUUCUCACAAUGUCAUCAGGUUUGCUUAAACGCAAGAGGCUAUCGUCUACUGAACAUGUUGCAAAACAUUCCAUCCAAGUGUCUAAUCCUAUGUAUGGUUAUUAGUUUUGUACUCUUGAGUUUUUUGGGAGAUGAUACUUCACAUUUGAAUCCUGAUUCCGUUUUGUUCAUCUUCUUAGGUUGGAUGUGACAGUUGUUGAUGUUGGACCACCAGCUGACUGGGUAAAGAUUAACGUACAGAGGACGGUAUGUUACUUUCUUGAAAAUCUGAGAAAUUAGUUUUUAUAUUAUAUUAAUUAGUAUUCUCUUCUAAUAUCCGCAGCAAGAUUGCUUUGAGGUGUAUGCAUUAGUCCCAGGACUAGUCCGUGAAGAGGUUUAGCUCUCUCACUCACACACUUGGAACAGAAUCUGUGUACUUCUCUGUUUUGGUUACGUAUCAACAACUUAUCUUGGCAAAUAAUAACACAGGUCCGAGUCCAAUCAGAUCCGGCAGGGCGGUUGGUAAUAAGUGGCGAACCGGAGAACCCUAUGAAUCCCUGGGGAGCUACUCCUUUCAAGAAGGUAAUGCUCCUUAGGCAAAUUCAACACUUAUAUAUAGAUUGUUGAGUGACAUUUUUGUUAAAUUUCUCUUGAAUUGUAUGUAGGUCGUGAGUUUACCGACAAGAAUUGAUCCUCAUCAUACAUCGGCUGUGGUGACCCUGAACGGCCAGUUGUUCGUCCGUGUGCCACUCGAGCAAUCUGAUUAGAAACAUUUUUACAGUUUAACAAAGCCUUGAAGAAGAUCCAAGAGAGAAGGGAGAAGAAUGUUUAGAAGUAGUUGUGAGGAUCUUUUGUCUGUAUAUUAUCAUAUGAUUGAGAGCAUAACACAACCUGAGAACCCACUUUAGGAUAACUUUAAUUAGGUCAUCUAGUUUAUCAUCUCUGUUCUCUUUGAUUAAAUUCUUAAAAAUCAACAUUUAUAUGUACCACAAGUUCUUUAAACAUUUUCUAUUAAGAAACACAAAUCUACAACCUUUUUAGUAUUUGUCUUCUCAUUUACAUUUGGUCUCACGUCUUUGUGUUUGUGGUAGUCUCCAUAAGAAAGCCUUGAUCAUGUUUGGUCUUCUAUUUGCUAAAAUGUUAACGAGUGUUAUCUGCAUGAUCAUUAAGGCAACCUUAUCAUUUAUCAACGAUAACAUCUAGAUAUCCAGAAGCACAAGGAUUUCUAAAACUGACAUGAUUACAAUUAGAUUCAUGCAAUUCAAACAUCUUACAUGGUGACAGGUCUGAGGGCCCAGUCGACACCAUUGGUAGCAUGACCCAUCAACUAGAGCAGGAAGAUCACUCGAUCAUCGCAAAUUGAAAAGCAUAUAUGAUCCAUGUAUGAUACAAUCCAUCUCUUAUGAUGGUAUCAAAACUUAAUGAUGCAUAUUAAUUUAUACUCAUAUGACAGUAGACUAAAGACAAGAGCUCCUGGUUUAUUAACAAAUAGAGCAGGAGAAUUCAAUACGACAGAUUAUUUCAUUUUACCUAUCAUUCGGUAGAGCUAAACACGAACACGAAAUCAGGGACGGCUCAGUGGGAGGACAAGCGGUGCGAUCGCUCCGGGCCCAAACCUGUGUGCCCCCCGUAUAAAAAUAAUUAAGAGGUCCAAUUUUUUUAUAAAUCUAUAUUUUUAUAUAUAAAAAAUUAUAAAUAUAAUAAAUCAAAAUAAAAAGGGCCGAGAAUUAUUUGAUAUGUAUAUAGUUUUAUUUUCAUUACAAAUAUAUACAAAAUAUUACAUAUUAAAUUUUAUAUAUAUUUUAAACAUUAUAUGUAUAUAAAUUUUAGAGGGUAAAUUUUUUUUUUGCCAUGGCUCCCUAAGAAUGUUGAGCCGGUCCUGCACGAAAUCAUCCAAAUUGAACAGAAACCAAAUUAAUAGUUUGCUAAAUCUGGUUAAGGACAUCAUUUUGAUUUGUUAAAACUUAAAAGUUUGUACUGUAUUUUCUUGAGAAAAAGACUAGGAUAACAUUAAACCAAGUUUUUGUUCCCAAACUAGCACUCAAGUCUCAAAAUCACAAAAAUAGGUUUUAUUAAAGAGGUAAAUAUACACUUAUAUUCAUUGGGUUAAUUAAUCCAAACCUUAGGGUUUUGAAUUAUAAAAAGAAAAUUUGAAAAAAAAAAAUUCGAAAAAAAAAUUUCAGAAAAAAAAUUAUAAAAAAUUUCGAAUCUAAAAACAUAUAAUCUGAAAUUAUAAAUUUUUUUUUCAUUUUUAUUUUAUUUGUUUUUAUUUUUUUUUGUUUGUUUAUUUAAUUUUAAACCAAAUAUAUUAAAGAUAUUUUACCAUUUAAUUUUGUUAUUUUGUGACUUUCUAUUUUAGUGCCAUUUUUGAGACAAAAACUUGUGACAAUUGCCCUAUUUUCUUUUGUUAGGACUUAUGAUUGUUGAAGAUAAUUAAAUUUUCAUCAGUUUAGUGCUGAAGGAUAUAUGUCUUCCUUCAAAUAAAGAAAAGUAUUAUAUCAUUCUGGCUUGUAAGGAAAGGGAUAACCCAAUGUUUAAUACUCAAAACGAUUAUAUUCUUGUUACAUUGAUGUUCCAAAUCGUUGCAUAUAUAACAAUAACUAGGUGAUUUUUCCGUUCUCAUGCACGGUUAUAAAUGUUUUUGAAGUAAAUAUACUAUAAUAAUUGAUUGCUAUUUACUUUUAAAUUUUAAAUUAAUUUAGAAUUUGUAUGCAUCAUUUAUAUUUAUAAUAUUAUAUUACUUUAAUAAUACAUAUGAUUUUAUAUAUGUUAUAUUUAACCGGUUUUGUUGUUUUUACAAUCAAUUUAGUUAUCAUUUGCGUAAUUUGGAUGGCAUCUCUGAAUUCAACUAUAAUAUUUUUAUUCUAAAUAUAUUAAAAUUUUGAUUAAUUUCUUAUUUUCAUUUAGGUGGUUGUUGUCUUAAAUAUGUAAAUAUAUUUUAUGAAGAUUAUGUAUAAGUUCAGAUAUAUUGUGCUUAGAAUAAAAAUAAUAAAAUAAACUAAAGUGUCUGAUUACAAAUUACAUAAAUUAAUAUAACGAUAAUAUUUUCAAGUCUCAUGCAUAUAUAUAAAUUUUAGAAAAGAACUAAAUUGUAACAGUUGUUUAAUAUUUUAUUUUCAUUUUAAUAUGUUUUGAGUUGUUCUAUAAUUUAUAUUUAUAAAAUAAAUUACUAUUCUUAUAAAAUUAUAUAUUCUUAUCGUAGUUAAAUCUAUGAUUUUAUAUAUAAGUUAGAUUAGUCGAAUCACUCAUGUUGUGAGUAUAUUGAGUUACUGUUAUUCUUUCAAAUUCAAAUGAAAUAUAAUUACUUUUUAUUAUAACCAAGUCAAAUCAAAUGAAUUUUAUUUAUUGUUUAAACGCACAUAUAUUUUCAUAGUAUAUAUCAAAUUAUAUGUUGAUGUUUUUUAAAAUAUAUUAUAAAAUAAAGUGAUGCUCAAUAGGAAGUUACAUAGAUAAGUAGGUGAUACAUUUUUUGAACCUCAUGAACACAUAUUAAUAUUUACAAUAAUUAAAAUAUUUUAUAAAUUGUAAAUAACUUUAUGCCUUUGAUUUAUUGAAUGGAAACUAAAAUUUUAUUUUCAAUAAUAUUAAAAAUGAGAAUUCAGAUUUGCUUUGGUAUUUUGAUUAUGGUUAUAUUAAGUUCCACAAACAUAAAAUUUAAAGGAAAAUUAUAUAUUAAGAAAACAAAUAACUUUAAUAAUGAUAAAAUAUAAUAUAUCUAUUUUGCAACAAUUUGAUCAAACGAUUUUUUUUAAUAUCUCUUAAAAAUAAACAGUAAAAAAAAUUGUGAUUUUAUUUGAAAAUAAUAUUAUAUAAGUAAAAUAUAAUUUAUCGAUAUUUUUUUGAUGUAAUUGGAAGAUAUUAUAGUCAGUAAAAUAUAUGAAAAAUAAAUAAAACACUUCAAUAAUACUAAUUAUAAACUAUUUUUAGUCAAUUAAACAUAUAUUAGUUUAUGUUUCUCAAUUAUUUUAUGCAAUCUUCAAAGAAAAUCGAUAGAUAUAUAAAAAUACUUCUAUUAGUUUGAAUUUUUUUGUAUUGUUUAAAAUUAUGUUUUAAAAGAAAUGUUAUUUCUUUUUCUAAUAUCAAGAUUAUCUGUGUAAAUUUUUCUUAAUGAAAUCACAUCAUAUACAAAUUUAUGCUUUUCAUCUAAGAAAAUAUAGAUAUAAAUAAAGUAUUUUAUUACUUCAAAAGUAUAUUUUAUGUUAUUUAAAAAUAUUUUUUAAAUGUAAUAUUACUAUUUUGUGAGCUUUCUUUUUUUUGAAAUCAUAUUAUAUAUACAUAUAUUUUCGUUAUCAAUUUGUUUUUUUUUUACCUUUAUAAAAAAAUUCUUUUUUUUAUUAUAGGUAUAUGCUUUUGGAAAAAAAUUAAAAGGAAACUAAAUAAAAAAAUAAAUAAUAGUAUUUAAUAUUUUUAAUUGAUUAAUGUUAUCAGUGUAAUCAACCAUCGUGAAAGUUAAUAUGAAAACUGACUUCUCAAAUAGUAUCAUAGAGAUUCUCAAUAUGAAAACUUCAAUUUCUUCUUAUAGAAACAAAUAUUUUAUUAAAGCAUAAUUGGUCAAACUGAAAAAGUAAAUUCAAAUAAAGGUGGUCCAAUUAUUCAACUUUUUGUGGAAGAUGUGUUGGAUCUCUGUGAGCCAAUUAAAAUCAUUAUUAAGCAGAGCAGGAGGCUUUCUACUCGGAUCUGCUCUAAACGCGCCGUCUCUAACCUCCUCCUCUUCAUCUCCCGCCGCCAUGGAAACUCACAAAACCAAGGUCUGCAUCGUCGGAAGCGGUCCCGCAGCGCACACGGCAGCGAUCUACGCAGCUAGAGCGGAGCUCAAGCCUCUCCUCUUCGAAGGAUGGAUGGCUAACGACAUCGCUCCCGGCGGUCAACUAACCACAACCACCGACGUCGAGAACUUCCCCGGCUUCCCCGAAGGCAUCCUCGGAAUCGACAUCGUGGAGAAGUUCCGUAAGCAAUCGGAGCGAUUCGGCACCAAGAUCUUCACCGAGACGGUUAAUAAGGUUGAUUUCUCCUCGAAGCCGUUUAAGCUGUUCACCGAUUCGAGAACCGUCCUCGCCGACGCCGUGAUCAUCUCCACGGGAGCUGUGGCGAAACGCCUCAGCUUCGCUGGAUCUGGUGAAGGCGCCGGUGGUUUCUGGAACCGAGGUAUCUCGGCGUGCGCCGUGUGCGACGGAGCUGCUCCGAUUUUUAGAAACAAGCCUCUGGUGGUUAUCGGCGGCGGCGAUUCGGCUAUGGAGGAGGCGAAUUUUCUGACUAAGUAUGGUUCUAAGGUUUAUAUAAUCCACAGGAGAGAUACGUUCAGAGCGUCUAAGAUUAUGCAGCAGAGAGCGUUGUCGAACCCUAAGAUUGAAGUGAUUUGGAACUCUUCGGUGGUGGAGGCGUACGGAGAUGAGAGUGGGAAAGGCGUUCUUGGGGGUUUGAAGGUGAAGAAUGUUGUUACUGGCGAUGUGUCUGAUUUGAAGGUGUCGGGAUUGUUCUUUGCGAUUGGGCAUGAGCCGGCGACGAAGUUCUUGGAUGGGCAGCUUGAGGUUGAUGAAGAUGGUUAUGUGGUGACGAAGCCUGGUACGACUAAGACGAGUGUGGUUGGUGUGUUUGCUGCUGGAGAUGUUCAAGAUAAGAAGUAUAGGCAGGCUAUUACAGCUGCAGGAACUGGUUCGUUCUUUGCUUCUCUUUUUACCCUUUGAAAUCAUUACUGAAAUGUAUCAUAGAAGCAGCAUCUGAUAUGCUGUGUGCGCUUGUUAUCUACUACCAUAAUGUAUUUAGUUGUUAGGUGUUGGAGAGUCAUUAGCUUUUUAUGAUGGGCUCUUUACGUUCUCAAAGUGACUUUUUGUAUAUCAUUUGAUUUACUUAACAAAGAGUAGGGUAGGCAUGAUUUGUGUUUCCUAUAGAAUGUUGGUCCUUUUUGGCGUUAGAAGCUUCUCUACUAUUCUCAUACAUUGAGAAGACACUGUAAUGGUCAUUAGCUGUUCUAGGUAGGAUGUCCUGAGAGCCUGCAGUUAUAAUUAGACUGUUUCAGGUAUCGAUAUAAAGUUCUUUAAUAUUGCUACAAGAAGAACCAGGCAUAUUUAGCUAUCUUCACUGCUGACGACCAAGUUGAAAUCAGAUUGUUUAGGGGGGGCCUAGGAUAAAUUGUAUUUCUGUCAGACCCAGUUUUUGGAUACCUUUUUAGACAGUGAUUUAUCUUUUUAAUUUCCACUUUCAUAAGCAACACUGAUCACAACUUACGGAUUGGUGCAGGGUGUAUGGCGGCCUUGGACGCAGAGCAUUACUUACAGGAGAUUGGAUCUCAGGAGGGAAAAAGUGAUUAGAUAAGGUGUCGGUGAAGGACCCAUUUAUAAGCUUCUCUCUAUUAUUUGCAGUGUCAUUUGCAGAACUGUCGAAAAGAUAAUCUUAAUGAGGGAGUAUGAGUAGUAGAGUUGUAAGCGUUUGCAGUUGAACUUGAUUCUGGAGUUUGUGCCAAGUUGUAACUCUUUAGUGGGUCACAGAUUUGAGCAAUCUGCUCUUCAUUUGUUCCUCAGGACCUCAUUUGUUCUUCAGUUUGAGUUGAACCGAUUGGAUUUGGAGUCUCUAUAGCUCAAUAAAACUAAAAUGGAUUUCUAGAAAUAUUGGUCAAUUAUUUAGAGAAAACGAUAAAAAUAAUAUUGUUUGUAAUCUACAACACUUCAAAUUUAAUUAUAACAUUUAGACAUAGUUUGCCUUUUUAUUGCAUUUCAAAAUUCAUAUUUUAAAAAUACUUGGGGGUUAUUGGUUGUUGUAUUUUAAUGGAUUUAAAAAUCCGAACUAAAUUUAGUGUUAUUGGUUCUAUGAUUUUUAGUUUUGUAUUAAAAUCAUGUGUUAUUGGUUUAAUGAUUCAUAAAUUAUAUAUUAAAUCAAAUAUUAUUCAGUCGUACAAAUUUACUAAUAAAUUUGAUUUUAUAAUGAAUUUGAAUGAGUUUUUUUGGAUUUUUUUUGUGAAAAAUACAAAGACUCAAAUCAGAAAAAAAUCUUCGGAUUUGUAAAUAUUAAUCCGAAUUUUUUUUAAAAAUCUGCAUAUUUUUUACUUGGAUUUAUAAAUAUUACAUGGAUUUCUAAAUCAAUCAAAAUAUAUAAACCGAUAACACAUAAAUAAUUAUUUCUUAUCAAAAUUAAAGAAGAUUAUUUUUAUUAUUAAACAAUUUACCUUAUCUUAAUAAUAUUUAUAUUUUGUAAAAGUUAUUUUAAAACAUAUAUCAUUAUUUUAAGACAUUUAUAAAAUAUUACUCCCUCCAAUUCAUACUACAGUAAAUGUCGUUGUAUACAAAAUAAUGGCAUUUUGAAUUUUGGUGCAAAAUUUAUUAAUUUUAAAUGUUGUAUGACUAUAUAUUCUACCGUUUAUUUUUCUAUUGAUUAAAAUAUAGUUAAGUGUAUAGUUAAUAAUUUUUUUAUUUAGAAAACAUAUGAAAUUAUAAAUUUUCUUAAUUUGUGUGCACAAAUUUAAAAUAAUUUUUCAGAAAAAUGUAAAUAUGAGAAGAUAAAGAGAGCGUCGAAAUCACGGUUGAUUAAGUUAUUUAGAUAACCCGCUUUGAUUUAGCUGGUUUUUGGACGGGUGAAUAUUAUCCAAGUUUAAUAUGCAAAAUAUUGAAUUUCUCAAUGAACCUCUUUUUAAUUUUUAAAAUAAAGAAACUCAAAGUUCAUAAUAUAAGAGGACAUUUGAGAUCUUUUAUUUUCGAUUUAUGGAAAGAUCAUUUCUGAUUUAGAAUUCUCUAUUUGGCUUAGGCAUUCGGAUUUGGUUUGGUUAAUUCAAAAUUUCAGUUUUUGGUAUUAUAUUUAUAAGUCUUAUAUGGAUUUUACUAACUUGUGGAUGGGGUUCGGUUCAAUAUUUUUUCAGUUUAUAAACAGUAUUUGAAAUCGUAAACUAAAAAAAUAUUCAAAAUAACAAAUAAAAAAUAUCAAAAUCUUUAAAAUAUUCGAAAAUAUCUAAAUUAGUUUAACAUAUAUAAAAAUAAUACGUUUAAUUAAUUUCAAAUAUUUUUAGAUUAUUUUAGUUCAAUUCAUAGCUCUUAAGACCCGUUCCAAUAAUUUUCUGUAACGAUUCCUAUGAGAUUUCAUGGUUCGGGUUAAGGUCGGGACAACCGUUUAGGGUAAACUAAAAACUCACAGGCCUAAGCAGAGCGAGCAGGAGGAGAGGCUUUCUACUCGGAUCUGCUCUCUCCACGCCGUCAUGGAAACUCACAAAGCCAAGGUCUGCAUCGUCGGAAGCGGUCCCGCAGCCCACACAGCAGCGAUCUACGCAGCUAGAGCCGAGCUCACGCCUAUCCUCUUCGAAGGAUGGAUGGCCAACGACAUCGCCCCCGGCGGUCAAUUAACCACCACCACCGACGUCGAAAACUUCCCCGGCUUCCCCGACGGUAUCCUCGGCAUCGACCUCGUCGCGAAGUUCCGUAAGCAAUCGGAGCGAUUCGGCGCCAAGAUCUUCACGGAGACUGUCAACAAAGUCGAUUUCUCCUCGAAGCCGUUUAAGCUUUUCACCAAUACGAGAACCGUCCUCGCCGAGGCCGUGAUCGUCUCCACGGGAGCCGUGGCGAAGCGCCUCAGCUUCCCUGGAUCUGGUGAAGGCGCUGGUGGUUUCUGGAACAGAGGUAUCUCGGCGUGCGCCGUGUGCGACGGAGCUGCUCCGAUUUUUAGGGACAAGCCUCUGGUGGUUAUCGGCGGCGGCGAUUCGGCUAUGGAGGAGGCGAAUUUUCUGACUAGGUAUGGUUCUAAGGUUUAUAUAAUCCACAGGAGAGACAAGUUCAGGGCGUCUAAGAUCAUGCAGAAGAGAGCGUUGUCGAACCCUAAGAUUGAAGUGAUUUUGAACGGUUCGGUGGUUGAGGCGUAUGGAGAUGAGAGUGGGAAAGGCGUUCUUGGGGGUUUGAAGGUGAAGAAUGUUGUUAAUGGUGCUGUGUCUGAUUUGAAGGCUUCUGGAUUGUUCUUUGCGAUUGGGCAUGAGCCAGCGACGAAGUUCUUGGAUGGGCAGGUUGAGCUUGAUGAAGAUGGUUAUGUGGUGACUAAACCUGGUACUACUAAGACUAGCGUGGCUGGUGUGUUUGCUGCUGGUGAUGUUCAAGAUAAGAAGUACAGGCAGGCCGUCACAGCUGCAGGAACUGGUAUGAGUUAGCGUUUAGAAAUCAAGAAUGCUGUGUGCUUGUUAUAUCCUAACAUAAUGUUCUAAGUAGUAUUUGGUACUUAGGUGUUUGAAUGUCAUUAGCUUUUUCUCUGAUGUGCCAUGUCAUGUUCUCCUUGUAUCGUUUCACUUAACAAAAUGGUUUUGUGUUUGCUAAAGAGUGGUCCUUUGUUGUGCCUCUUUACUUUCUUUCUAAUACUCUGUUAGAAGAAACUUUAAUGGUCAUUGAUUAUUCUAGGUGGGAUAUCUUGAGAGCCUGCAAGUUAAAUUAGACUGUUUCAGUACCGGUUUAAUGUUCUCUUCUAGAAAAAGAAGCAGACGUAUUUAGCAAUUUUCACCGCUGAUGACUAAGUUGAAAUCAGAUUGUUCUCGGUGGUCUAAGUUGAUUGUGUGUCUCCGUCAAAACCCAGUUUUCAUACCUUUCUAGACAGUGAUUACCUUCAAGUGUAAUGUUUUUCAUUUCAGCUUUCACAAGAAACUCUGAUCACAACUUAUUGAUGGUGCAGGGUGCAUGGCCGCCUUGGAUGCAGAGCAUUACUUACAGGAGAUUGGAUCUCAAGAAGGUAAGAGUGAUUAGAGAAAGUGUAGAAAAAGAACCAAUUUAUAAGUUGUUCUCUCUCUCUCUUCCCCUUAUUUGCUGUUUGAUUUGAAGAACCGUCAAAAAGAUGAUAUUGAUGAGGGAGUUUUGUUAUGUGCGUUUGCAGUUGAACUUGGUCAAGUUGUAAGAGCAACUCCACUCACGGUAUAUAAUGAAGUAUCUAGGAGUACUCCAGUCACGGUAUAUAAUGAAGUAUCUACGAGUACUCCACUCACGGUAUAUAAUGGAGCAUCUACGAGUACUCCAUUCACCGUAAAUAAUGGAGAAUCUACGGUUAGAAGGUAACAAAAAUAAAUGAAAAAAAAUUAAAAUUUUAAAUGAUAUUUUUUUGUCGAAAAUACAAUACGCAAUGUGAUAAAUAUGGGUGGAGAAGACAAUCCAAACCAAACUAAGAUCACAACCAUUGAUUGUAGGGAAAGAUACAAGUGGAGCCCAGCUGAAGAUGUUGUUCUUAUCAAUGCGUGGUUAAAUACAGACAAAGAUAUAAUUGUGGCUAUUGAUCAAAGAGCUUCUUCUUUUUGGAAAAGAAUUGCUGCAUAUUAUUCAUCAAGUCCUGCCGCUGCAAGUCUACCAAAGCGAGAAAGCAGUCACUGUAAGCAAAGGUGGCAGAAAAUAAAUGAUAGUGUUCACAAGUUUGUUGAAUGCUAUGAUCAUGCUUUGAGACAAAGAACUAGUGGCCAGUCUGAAGAUGAUGUUGUCCAAGUUGCAUACCAAUUCUACUUCGACGAUUGCAAAAAGAGAUUCACGCUUGAACAUGGAUGGAGGAAGCUCCGUCAUAGUCAAAAAUGGUAUAGUUACAUCUCUAAAUGUUCUAAGAGUAAUGGAAGUUCAAAACGAGCAAAAUUGGAUGAAGGGGGCACAUUUUCUUCAAGCUCUAAUACAAAAAGUAACGUAGAGGAACAAGCUAUGGCCCAUCCUAUUGGUGUGAAGUCAUCAAAGGGCGAAGGGGAGAAUCUUGUUACUAAAGCAACAAAUGAAGAGAAUGUUGCUACUAAAACAACAAAUGAAGAGAAUGUUGCUACUAAAACAACAAAUGACGAAAGGGAGUCCAACUCCCGAUCGAGGCUCGAGAACUUGUGGGCUCUAAAUGAGAGAGAUAUAGCUGAGAGAAAUAAACUAUCAAGGAUAGAGCUGCUUAGAAGCCUUCUGGGAAAAACAGAAAAACUUUCAGAAAAAGAAGAAACUUUGAAGAACAAACUCAUCGAUGAAAUGUUGUAAUAUCGUGUAACUUAUAUAUAUUGUAAUAAUAUGCUGUAGGUAAGCUAAUAUAUUAGCGUGCAAGACUUCCUCUUGAUCAUUAUCUCCAUCUUUGUAAUACAACACUUUCUAAGGUCGAAGUAAGCAAACUUCUUCAAAUUUUCAAAAAUAAUAAGUAGAAGAAUAAUCCCUAUAAGAAUUUGAAAGUUUUGCUCAAAAUAAAUAAGUAAAGAAUUAAAAAAAAAAUGUAUGCUAAAUGAUGCUCUGCAAAGGAACAAUUCAUAUACAUCUAAAGGGUGAGCAUUUGGGCAAGUAAAUUCCAGACUCUACAACUACAAAUAUGCCUACUAAUAUGGGCAAUGUUUUCAGUUCAGGUUCUUUUUUCAUUUCACCUUUCAUAAUAAAUGUAUGCUAAAUGAUACUCUGCAAAAGAACAAUUCAUAUAAAUCUAAAGGGUGAGCUUUUGCACAAGUGAAUUACAGACUCUACAAAUAUGCCUACUAAUAUAGACAAUAUUUUCGGCAAUCAAAUUUGACUUCAUGAUGAAAAUAGACGUCAUCAGUUAAAGAUUAAGGCUUACUUAAUUAUAAUUUGGAUUAUGGUUUAAUAUUUUGUUCUACCAUUUUUAGUUUUAUUUUUAUAAGUUUUUUCUCUAAUUUAUGUUAUUAAUUUUAAAAUUAUAACUCUUUUAUUAUAUUAUAUAAAAAAUUGCUUUAUUAUUUUAAACAUAAAUUAUUCUUAUUUAUUUUAUUAUCGGGCUUAUGACAGAUGAGAAAAAUAAAAAAAAAUUAACAGAUACAGUUAAAUAAAUUUCAAAUAUAAUUUUAUAUGUUUAAAUGUUUCUUAGAUUUUUUUAAUUAAGAUAAGUUUUAAAAAUUAUUUUUCAUAAACUAAAUUACAAUAAAAUUAAAAUAAGAUAUAAUAAUAUUAUAGUAAUAAGAUACUAUUUUACCAUUGGAGCUAACAAUUUUGGUAUAGUUUCUUAACUUAAAUUUUAUUAGAACAAAAUAGUAUUAUAUUAAUGAGAUAUAUAGUGAAUAUCUUCCUAAAAAGGUUAUUCUAAUUCUUUGGUGGUCAGACCUUUGAUCACAUUGCUCUUGAAUUGUUUCUCAUUUGAGGAUUUUUGAUUUUAUCUGAUUAUGCAAUUUCAGUUUAAAUUAAUCCGAAUGGAUUCGAGUCUCUAUAGCUCAAUAAAACUAAAAUGGGUUUCUCGUUAUAUUGGUUGGUUAAUUCAUAGUUCUAUACAAUUCUCAGUUGAAUAUUGCAUAGUAACUUCCACUAAUUAAAUGGGAUAAGUUACAAAACUAAACUACACACUUGUUUCUUCGUCAACACUGAACUGUUUAAUUUUCUGAUUCAUGAUAUUUAACGUUUUAAAUGACCAAAGAAUAUAUAAAACAUAUACGUGUACUGUGGUUAUUAACCUCUCAAUAAAUACAACUUCAGUUGUACAAAAAAGUACUAACAUAAGUUUUUUAAACUCUACAUUAGUUUUUUUCUUUUUGAAACUUAAACUCUACGUUAGUUGUGUCUUCCUUCUUUCUACCUCUCCUUUUCACUCAUGAUCACAACAAGCAAGAGUCAGAGAUAUUUGUUACGGUUUCUUGUGCUCCACGGUGGAGCUACGGCCGCGGCAGCUCCCUCCAGCGAGAAAACGCUCUCUCAGACACCCACUUGGGCCGUUGCGGUCGUCUGCACAUUUCUCAUCAUCAUUUCCCAUCUCCUUGAGAAGGGUCUUCAUAGACUCGGCAAUGUCCGUCUUCAUUCUUCUUCUUAAGUGUUCUUGUUCAAACACUCAAUGUCUGAACCAUCUUUCUUUGUUUCUUCGCAGUGGUUAUGGAAAAAGCAGAAAAACUCUCUGCUUGAAGCCUUAGAGAAAAUCAAAGCUGGUUAGUUAGUAAUGAUUGAUAUUAUGACAAAGCUUGAAUUGGUUUUUCAAGAAAUUUUUUUAAAAAUGGUGAUUGAUUAAUCUGCAGAGCUGAUGAUUCUUGGAUUCAUUUCUUUAUUACUCACCUUUGGAGAAACAUACAUUCUCAAGAUUUGUGUUCCUUCGAAAGCUGCUCUCUCUAUGUUACCAUGUCCAUCUGAAAAGACGAACACUCUGGCUCCGUCUCUUAGCAAACAUCUUUUGGCUGCUGGUGAUUUAUCUGUGAACUGCAAAAAUGGAUCUGAGCCACUAAUAACUUUGAAAGGGUUGCACCAACUUCACAUCUUGUUGUUCUUCUUGGCCAUUUUUCAUGUUCUUUAUAGUUUAAUAACCAUGAUGCUUAGUAGGCUUCAGGUAUGAAGAAUCUAUUUUUCACCAACAUAUCGAUGUUUGAUGGAGUUAAUAAUGAUGGCUUCAUUUUUGUGUUGGCUACCUUGCAGAUUCGUGGAUGGAAAAAGUGGGAGCAAGAGACAUUAUCUCAUGAUUAUGAGCUUUGUAUUGGUAAGUUCUGUUCAAAUCCCUGAGAUUUGUCUUUUUUUUUUUUUUUUUUUUUGUCUUUAAUACUUUCUUUGGCUGUGGGAGCAGAUCAAACAAGACUUAGGCUCACUCAUGAGACUUCUUUUGUGAAAUUGCAUACAAGUUUCUGGACAGCAAUUCCUUUCUUCUUUUACGUCGUAAAGAAACUAUUUCUUCUUUCUCUUCCAAUUCCAUCAAACGUGUUCUUGAUUUUUGAUUUUGAAUAUUUUGAGCUCUUUGCAGGGGUGCUUCUUCAGGCAGUUCUUUGUAUCUGUGGGAAGAACAGAUUACUUGACCCUGCGCCACGGAUUCAUCUCUGUGAGUUUCAAAAUCUUCCACCUUCCCCUUUUCUUUAUUGUUGCAAUCUUGAUGUGUGAAUCUUGUGGUCUGAUCAGGCUCAUUUAGCUCCGGGAAUGAAGUUCAACUUCCAGAGAUAUAUCAAAAGAUCUCUUGAGGAUGAUUUCAAGUUAGUAGUUGGAAUAAGGUACAACACAAUCCAUAAACAUAAUAUGCAAAUGAAAUUAUUUUGGUUGAUCUUCUAUUAUUGUUUUCUUAAUAUAUUUUUUUUUUUGUUUUGCUCCGCAGUCCAGUUCUUUGGGCAUCAUUUGUGAUAUUCUUGCUGUUUAAUGUUAAUGGUGAGCUACACAUCUGUCUAUAUAUUUUUUUCAUAUUCAUUUCAUAUACUGAAGUGUACCUAUUCAAUUUCCAGGAUGGAGAACAUUGUUUUGGGCAUCAAUACCUCCUGUGCUAGUAAGACUAUCCCUCUCUCUAUUUAUGCUAAACCUGCUAUGGAGUAAGUUCUUUUGUCUCAAUAUAAGAAGUCUUGUAACAGAUAAUUUUAGCUGUUGGAACAAAGCUUCAAGCGAUUUUGGCAACAAUGGCGCUAGAAAUAGUAGAGACACAUGUAGUAGUACAAGGGAUGCCUCUAGUGCAAGGUGCAGAUCGAUACUUUUGGUUGGAUUGCCCUCAACUGCUUCUUCAUCUUAUUCACUUUUCCUUGUUUCAGGUAAUAACACUAAGAAAACCAUGUCCUUAGCAUCUUUGUUCUUCUAUUAUGUUACUGUAUAAUUAAUAUAUGUUUCCUGUGGUCUGCAGAAUGCUUUCCAGAUAACACACUUCUUCUGGAUAUGGGUAACAAAAACAAGAAGCACCUCCUUUUAAUUUAAAUAUUUUGGAAUUAUUACUGAAUAACAUACAUAUAAUAUUAACCUUGGGGCUUGCAGUAUUCUUUUGGAUUAAAAUCAUGCUUCCAUAAAGAUUUCAACCUUGUAGUCAUAAAACUCUUUUUAUGGUAAAACGCUCAUUCAAACCCUUAAAAAUUAUGUUUCUUACAAUAGAAAUCUUUUAUUUAAAAACAUGUGAGGAUGUAUGUAUAUGCAGCCUCGGGGCUUUGAUCUUAUGCAGCUACAUAACUCUCCCUUUGUACGCCCUGGUGACUCAGGUUAUUUCUAAACAAAAGUUUUUCGAUAUUCUAGUCAUGUGACCUCCUAAUGAGAGUAGUCUUGAAUGUGAAACGAUGAAAUCUUGUGUUGAUGUGUGAGCAGAUGGGUUCACACAUGAAGAAAGCAGCGUUUGAUGAACAAAUGGCAAAGGCAUUGAAGAAGUGGCACAAAAAUAUCAAAAUGAAGAAAGGAAAAGCAAAGAAGCUCCUGAGCAAAACACUUGGUGGUUCGGGGAGUUUCAGCAUCUCCCCCUCUUCCUCUGGAACCACUCUACAUCGUUCCAAAACCACUGGUCACUCUUCUAACGCCAUAUACUACAAACAAGAAGAAGAACACGACGAGAUGUCUGAUCUUGAAGCUGGUGCAGAGGAUGCCACUGAAAGGUUUCAAGAGCAGCAUAAGCCAUUCCAUCAUUCUUAGCUGUUUUUAGUGUACUCUUAUUACUUAAAGGUUGAGAUGUUGUGAGAAAACAAUGUUUCUACUGAUUAGCCAACAAUAGACUUAUUUAUUUUAACUUAACUACAGACGACAGAUUAUAUUUAACCUUAGCACUAUAUAGUGUGACCACUGGUAUGAGUGGUGAAUUCACUCUAUCUCUGGCUCGUAAUAGUAGCUCCCAGGCCGAUACAUCAAGAAGUCUUUUAGGAAAUUUACCCUUAGUUAGGUAUUGUUUCUUUAUUAAUGAUCUGGUUAGUUUACAUUACUUCAUAGCUUAUACACUUGACUACUAGGAAAUAAGGCUUCUCCUUCCUUUCCCAAAGCUUUUAACUUUUAUAUGAUCUCUAAAACACUCCUUAACAUUGCUAGUUUUCACUAACUAGUUAUUAAAUUGAUAAUUCGUUUCAAGAAAGGAAACAAAUGAUACUUUUGCACAUAUUUUCUUGGAACCGUAGUAAAUAAAUACAUUAUGAAAUAUAAAACGCAUUUGUUUAUCAGGUUAUGGAAAGAACAAAGAGAAAAAUACAGAGUAAACAAAACAUGAAUUUGCUUACAGAAAAAAAAAAUUAAAAAACAAUAAGAAUAUCCAUAAGAAUCGGAGAAAGUGGAAAGAACGUGAGACACUGACAUACGCCGAGUCUAUAGAUAACUGAUUAAGAAGAGCCAUUAUUAAAAUCUCAAACUCCUCAUAAUAUUAUUUCUUCAUAUGUUACACGAUCAUUUUAAUAUAUUAAUUACAGUUCACGUCAAAUCUUUAAAGAUUACUAAUAUCUUUUAAAUUAUUAAUUUGCAGGUCGAGAGAGAAGAAGAAACGAAGAAUGAGAAGACGAAAGAGAAAACAGCUGUCAUCAUCAUUGUUUGAGCCUAUACAAGAACCGUUGUGAAAAUCAUCUUCUUCAUUGGUGAUGAUGAAUCAGGUGGUGGAAGAGAUCAUGAGCAUCCACAGAUCCUUACCUCCUAGACCAGACAUCGACGACGUCGAAGCCGCGACUUCUCUCAUACAGAACGUCGAAAACGACGAUCAGAGCCGCUUGGACGCCGUCGAUAGAGAGAUCAAAAGCUCCGGCGUUCCUCAGGAGCUUUUCGACGUGUUGCAGGAGAUGAGGAGAGGCCUCGUUCGUUUCCAGAGUAAAGAGCAGAAGAGAGAGGCCGCGAAAGUGCUCGAUCUCGAAUCUGCACACGUUGUGUUCGACGAAUUGAUUCAGAGAGCUUAUGCGAAUCUCUCUCGGCCUCCGCUAGCGCCGGUUGUUUCUCCGGCGAGUUUGUAUUGUUCUGAUGAGGCUCAUGUCAAGUCCAAGGACAUGUUCACGCGCGACGAUACGUUUGUUAACAAGGUCAAAUCUUCGCUCUAUAGUGACGGUUUCUUAGCUCCUCGCAAGCCUCAGGUUUUGGAUUCAACAACACUUCAGGCUAAGAACCUCACUGGUGAGAUAGAAUCUGAAUGAUGUGUUAUAGUGUUUACAUGUGAUUAGUUUAAUAACUGUAUUGGAAUGAUUGUGUGUAGGCCAUGAUGGGGAGAAGCUGAGUCUCAUAAAGCUUGCAACUUUGAUUGAAGUGUCCGCCAAGAAAGCUACUCAGGAGCUGAACCUGCAGCACAAGCUGAUGGAUAAUCUCGAGUGGCUUCCUGAUUCUCUAGGAAAGUUAUCGAGUCUCGUUAGGCUGGAUCUGUCUGAGAAUUGCAUCAUGGCGCUACCAGCGACCAUAGGAGGGCUUUUGUCCUUGACGAGGCUCGAUUUGCAGUCGAAUAGAAUCGGUCAGCUUCCUGAGUCUAUAGGAGAUUUGAUGAACUUGGUCAACCUGAAUCUUAGUGGAAACCAGUUGACGUCUCUACCAUCGUCUCUGAGUAGAUUGGUUAAUCUCGAGGAGCUUGAUUUGAGCUCUAAUAGCCUCUCUGUUCUCCCUGAGACCAUUGGUUCUAUCGUGAGCCUCGAGAAGCUCGACGUUGAAACAAACAAUAUCGAGGAGAUUCCUCAUAGUAUCUCGGGUUGUUCUUCCUUGAAAGAGCUCCGUGCAGAUUACAACAGGCUUAAAGCUCUUCCGGAAGCUGUUGGGAAGAUAACUACUUUGGAGAUUUUGAGUGUCCGUUACAAUAACAUUCGGCAGUUGCCUACGACAAUGUCCUCCAUGGCUAACCUCAAAGAGCUUGAUGUGAGUUUCAACGAGCUUGAGUCUGUACCAGAGAGCUUGUGUUACGCUACAACGCUUGUUAAGCUGAACAUUGGGAACAAUUUUGCCAACCUGAGAUCACUCCCGGGGUUGAUAGGCAACCUUGAGAAGCUGGAAGAGCUUGAUAUGAGCAAUAACCAGAUCCGUUACCUUCCUUACUCUUUCAAAGCGCUUUCACAGCUGCGUGUUCUUCACACACAGCAAAAUCCACUUGAAGAGCUUCCAAGGGAUAUAAUCAAAAAGGGGGCUCAGGUUAUUACUUAUCUAUGUUUAGUGUUUUGUCCUGUCUUUGCUUGUAUGGAUGAUUGAUUGUAUUAUUGUUUGGCUUCAUCCUCUCAGGCCGUGGUUCAGUACAUGAAUGAUCUAGUGGAGGCAAGAAACACCAAAUGUCAAAGAACUAAGCAGAAUAAGAGUUGGGUCGUCAGAAUCUGCUUCCUCUGCAAGUCCACCAACUAGAGAACACGGAGCCACUCUUGAACAAAAUCUGACUUCGAUUUCAUUCUUACAACUCCUGAAGUCCAAUCAAAGAUUCCAAUUGUAUACUUUGUAUUUGUUCAUACCUGACUUGAUCCUGAGGAAAAUGUAAUUCAAUUUCGUAAUGUCAAAUUGUUUAUAUUCUUGUUUCUCUUGUUGUAACUUUUUUUAUUUUUGAAGGGCUUACUUCUCCUGUUGUAACUUUCUUCUUUUUGAAUGCUGAAUUGAAUUGUAAUUCAAUGCUUGUUUCUUCUUCUUUUAAUGUGUAGCAAAACAUGUACUGGGAGUCUGGGAUAUCCGAAUCAAAACACGUUUCCACAGGCUCUGCUCUUUUUUUUUCUGUUUUAACCUGUUAAAAAGUUUACUGAGGAGAACAUAAGUGGCCGAGCAAAUUAUUGAGCAAUAUAUUUGUCAUCUUUUUUUUUUCUGUUUUAACCUGUUAAAAAGUUUACUGAGAACAUAAGCGGCCGAGCAAAUUAUUGAGCAACAUAUUUGUCAUCUAUUUCAUUUUAUUGACAAGUUUUUAUUCAUAGCCAGCCGUGGGUGAACACUAAAAAUAAUUCAAUUGAUAGAUACUCUAUUAAUACUUUACCAAUAAAUACUCAAAAAAAUAGAAAAGGUCGAAAAGUUUUCAAAUAAGUUACCUUAAAAUAUUCAAUUAUCAUGUGUCUGUGGACAGAAAAUAUCAAAGUAUUAUACAACAAGUAAAUAAAUACUCAAAAUUUGAAACAAUUAUAUAUUAUACAUUAUAUUUAAUUUUUGGUUAAAUCUGUAGACAAUUAGCAAUGAGAAUGUUGAAUUUUUCCAACAUUAUGAAACACAUAUGGAUUACAUUAAGAUGUUGAAUUUUAAAUGAUAUAAUGAAGCUGUUGAAUUUUAUUAAAAACACAUAUGGAUUACAUUAAGUUGAAUGUUUUCAACAGGUUGAAAGAACUGAAAUGGGUUCAAGGCUACAAUUUUUAUUUCCUCCAAAUUAUAAAUUUCAAUUAUUUUGUAGUAAAAUAUUUUUCAAAAAAAUAAAAGUUAUACCAGAAUUCAGUAUUUUAUAGACAUAUAGAUAAAAACUAAUCUCAUUUUAUUUAGAUACCAAAAAUUCAUAUUUACUAUACUUUCUUUUAUUAACUUCUAAUCAACUCUUUUGUGUAUUUUAAUUUACUUUUUUUGUCAAAUGGAUCCUAUUAAUAAUUGUGACAAAAAAGGAUCCUAUUAAUAAUUUUAUUAACAUUCAAAAAUUUUGUAUCUUUCAUUUUAACAACGAAAAUUUUAAUAAUUAUCAGUUUCACAACUAAACUAAGUAAAAAGUAAAAAUAACUAAAAAAUAAGCAAAAUAUAAUUUUUUUUUGGGAAAUAUAAUAUUAAAGUGAAAAUAUUGUCUUUUAUGUAGUAAGAAAUGGAAAAUUAGAAUUCAUCUAAUGAAAUAAAUACUCAAACGUUAAGAAAAUGUGUUAGAAAAAAUUGAAAAAAACAGUGAUGACAAUUCACAAUCUCAAACUUAAGCUUCAUAUGACACUAUUAAAUUUUCUAAACUAUGAAAUCUGAUAGUUUCCAUAUGUAUGUAUUUAUAUAAGAAAAUAUUUUACUUAAAAUGUAGCACGUGCCAUACCUCUUUCAAGUACAAGUCUGCCCAGGUUUGAUAUUGUAGAAAGAUUGAAGUUGUUGUAAAAAAAUUGUGUUAUGUUUCAGUCUAAAAAGAUUAAAUUGGGCAAGCCGGGCAUAGACAUCCUAAGCCAAGAUCUAAACCCACCAUUUUGCCCAACGGUGUAUCGCACGUUACACCACCAUCCCAGUUACAAGAGUUGGUGCCAGGGACGGAACUAUUAACACCAUAAGGGGGUCAGCUGACCCCAUUAAAAUUUAUAAUUUAUUCACUAAAUAUAAUAAUUUUCUUCAAGCGAUGCCCUAAUAAAUAUGUGUCUGACCCCGUUUCCAUUUUUUACUUCGGCGUUUCCUGAAGAAAGACUUUCUCUUUCAUGAAAAAGGGAACAAUAGUAAUUUUAGACAUCUACUUAAUUUCUGUUUUUAUGUAUAGUAUUAAUCAAUUAUAUUAAAAUUAAAGUACAAAAUAAUAUUUUUUUUAAAAAAAUUUAAGUGGUUUUCUACAGAUUUUCAUUCAUUUUUAAUUAAUCCUACCUACUUCAUCUAUUGUCUUAUCUAAUUAAUUCAUCAGUAUUUAUUACAAAGUACUCCUAUAAAACAUAACUUACCUAUUUUUUCAUUCUUUUUAACUACUUCAUUAAUUAUAUUUAUUAUAAUAAUUUGACAUCAUUUAUUUUUCAUAUUCACAAUAAUAAUUUCACAAAUUUAAAUGGAAUUGUUUCAUUCGUAAUAAAAAUUCAAAGCAACUUUUUAACUGGCUUCUUAACUAUUUAUAUUUUGUACUCUGUAAUAAAUGACUUCGUAUUAUUUGAAAAAAAACAAUAAAUAAAAUAAUUUAAAUUAGUUAAAAAAGGAAGAUGUACGAAAUCACUUAAAAUUAAAUAAUGUUUUGUAUUUCAGUUUUAAUAGAAUAGAUUAACAAUUUAUUUGUCUAAGUAUUAGAAUUGCUAUAUGUAAUUGACAAACAAUAUUGAAUUUAGUUUCUCAUCAUUACUUAUACAUAGUAUACUAUAUAUUUUUAUAUUGUUUCCAUUUCAACAACAAUCAAAAGUAUGUAUUCCAUAUAUAAUAUUUUAUAAUUUUACACAUAUCGGCACAUACGUGCACAACAAUGUUAAUUAAUGUUAUUAUAAACAUUUAACUAUACUAAAGUAUAAAUUUUACUGGAAUAGUUUUUUUUUUUUAAACACUAAUUAUAUUAACCAACAGAGAUUACAGGAGUGGAGUACAGUUUAGGUUACAUUUGCCGGCAGGUUUAUAAAAAACCUCCAGAGUCCAAGGCUCCAACAACGGAGAAGCUAAGCCCAAACAUGGGAAUUAAAGACAAGAACAUGAACCAUCCUUAAUACUAACCGAUCUAAAAUAGAAGAAGUGAGGAACCAAACAAAAUAACCUUUACAAAACAGUGAACAAUAAAGCACGAUGACUUCAAAUGAACCCCUUUGAACGAGACAAGGCGAGGAUGCUAUCCAAAGCUAAAACCUCCGGCUUGUGACUCCUCCUAUAGAGAAUAGCCCAUGCGAUUAAGAGACCAGUUCUUCAAGCUUUCAAGAUCCAGGAGACAGAACAAUUUCAGUUCUUAAGUCUACCACCGGGAAUGGGUUGACGGAGAUAGAACAUCACGAGACGUCGAGAUGAAGUAAGACGAGAGAUAAGAACUCGAUCAAAUCUUUUGGUAAAUGACAAGGAGCGAGACAACUCAUAAAUGGGUUCAGCCAUUCUCGAGAGAUCAAGAAGGACGAAGAUCGAGACCCAAAAUGAGCCAAAGAGAGUUCAAAGCCAACAUGCAAAUCAUUUAACCCAAAAACAGGUUCAUAAUGCGACCAAAAAGAAGGGAAACAGAACCCAACUCACUUCAACUAGAUCGAUCAAUAUCACACACAGAGAACGACAUGCAAGCUCUCAUCCCCGGUAAGGAUAAGAUCUAGAUCUAAAAUCCAACCAAAGAGAAAAACGAGAACAAGACAUGAAGAUCUAAACUGAUUGAAACCAAAAAGGAUGGUUCAAAGAAACUAAACCCGACUCCGGCUCUGAGAGAGCAACCGGAGUCGGAGAGCAAGCUUCAACAAUGGAGGAUUGAUGAGAGAAGGCAGAGUAUUUUUGAAGAGAGAGAAAGAGGACUACUGGAAUAGUUUUAUACGACUUUUAUUAGAAAAAUUUAUUAAUACAAAAUUGCACACUGAAAUUAUU
This 31865-nucleotide long non-coding RNA is filed under the name Brassica rapa (field mustard). RNAcentral's name for it is "long non-coding RNA (BRAP_LNC006356)". Lineage: Eukaryota; Viridiplantae; Streptophyta; Magnoliopsida; Brassicales; Brassicaceae. The record is from RNAcentral.